GCGGGGGUUGCAGAGACUGGUCAAAUGCAUGGGACUUAAGAUCCCAUCCCUUAGGGGUUCGUGGGUUCGAAUCCCACCCCCCGCA
This 85-nucleotide transfer RNA is filed under the name Nitrososphaerota archaeon. Its description in RNAcentral is "Thaumarchaeota archaeon tRNA-Leu". It matches the Rfam family "tRNA". Rfam says of the family: Transfer RNA (tRNA) molecules are approximately 80 nucleotides in length. Their secondary structure includes four short double-helical elements and three loops (D, anti-codon, and T loops). The record is from RNAcentral. Lineage: Archaea; Thermoproteati; Nitrososphaerota.